GGAUUACUGCGCUGCCCGUAACAUGCACGAGCAUUCCCAGGGUCGAUAUUCAUACCGAGAGGGAGCUACCACUGGCCGGAUCGUGGUCCGGUUAUGCGGCGCCCACCUGAUACUUCAGGACCUCGGCGAAUCACAGUUGCUAACGACAGUGCGGUGCCAUU
This 161-nucleotide non-coding RNA is filed under the name Alphaproteobacteria bacterium CG11_big_fil_rev_8_21_14_0_20_44_7. Its description in RNAcentral is "6S RNA". It matches the Rfam family "6S / SsrS RNA". Rfam says of the family: E. coli 6S RNA was the first non coding RNA to be sequenced, but its function was unknown until recently. It consists of 184 nucleotides that fold into an extended hairpin structure with a large single-stranded internal bulge. Lineage: Bacteria; Pseudomonadati; Pseudomonadota; Alphaproteobacteria. The record is from RNAcentral.